UACGGGGGGGGCAAGCGUUGUUCGGAAUUACUGGGCGUAAAGGGCUCGUAGGUGGCCCCAUAAGUCAGACGUGAAAUCCCUCGGCUCAACCGAGGAACUGCGUCUGAGACUGUGGGGCUUGAAUCCGGGAGAGGGAUGCGGAAUUCCUGGUGUAGCGGUGAAAUGCGCAGAUAUCAGGAGGAACACCGAUUGCGAAGGCAGCUCGCUGGGACGUUACUGACGCCGAGACGCGAAAGCGUGGGGAGCAAACAGG
RNAcentral lists this ribosomal RNA (253 nucleotides) under uncultured bacterium. RNAcentral describes it as "partial 16S ribosomal RNA". It matches the Rfam family "Bacterial small subunit ribosomal RNA", at positions 524 to 776 of the family's 1533-position model. The record is from RNAcentral.